GGGGGCGAACAGGCUUCGACGGGGAUAUAGAGUCAGGAGUAGCCGGUCGUGGUUUCGCUUGGUACCACGUAAAAUAGCUGAGCACUUAAAGUUAAACGCAGACGAAAAUUACGCUUUAGCUGCCUAAUAAAAGCAGCCGCUUCCUCUAGCUGUCCCACCUGUUAGAGUGUAAGUGUCAUUAAUCUGUGGGGAACUUCUUUAGGGUUUCUCCGACCUAGAGUAGAAUAAUUGGGGAUAGUCGAGUAUGAAGCCCGUUGUUAGGCGUCAUACAAGGCGAAAUUUAAAAUAACAACUGUAUCGGGAGAAGCUCUUGGCGAAGUAUUCUCGGACGUGGGUUCGAUUCCCACCGCCUCCACCA
This 358-nucleotide transfer-messenger RNA is filed under the name Tissierellales. RNAcentral's name for it is "MES13 sp009711785 Standard tmRNA". It matches the Rfam family "transfer-messenger RNA". From Rfam's summary of the family: Bacterial tmRNA, also known as 10Sa RNA or SsrA, is named for its dual tRNA and mRNA-like properties. RNAcentral also lists the same sequence under 1 other name. The record is from RNAcentral. Lineage: Bacteria; Bacillati; Bacillota; Tissierellia.